RNAcentral lists this ribosomal RNA (253 nucleotides) under uncultured bacterium. Its description in RNAcentral is "partial 16S ribosomal RNA". It matches the Rfam family "Bacterial small subunit ribosomal RNA", at positions 524 to 776 of the family's 1533-position model. The record is from RNAcentral.
UACAGAGGUCUCAAGCGUUGUUCGGAUUCAUUGGGCGUAAAGCGCGCGUAGGCGGCUACCUAAGUCGGAUGUGAAAGCCCCUGGCUUAACCGGGGAAGUGCACCCGAAACUGAGUAGCUAGAGUGCAAAAGAGGGUCGCGGAAUUCCCAGUGUAGAGGUGAAAUUCGUAGAUAUUGGGAGGAACACCGGUGGCGAAGGCGGCGACCUGGGUUGACACUGACGCUGAGGCGCGAAAGCGUGGGGAGCAAACAGG